CGGGGUGAGUAAUGUCUGGGAAACUGCCUGAUGGAGGGGGAUAACUACUGGAAACGGUAGCUAAUACCGCAUAACGUCUUCGGACCAAAGUGGGGGGACUUCGGGCCUCACGCCAUCGGAUGUGCCCAGAUGGGAUUAGCUAGUAGGUGGGGUAAUGGCUCACCUAGGCGACGAUCCCUAGCUGGUCUGAGAGGAUGACCAGCCACACUGGAACUGAGACACGGUCCAG
RNAcentral lists this ribosomal RNA (229 nucleotides) under uncultured bacterium. Its description in RNAcentral is "partial 16S ribosomal RNA". It matches the Rfam family "Bacterial small subunit ribosomal RNA", at positions 104 to 334 of the family's 1533-position model. The record is from RNAcentral.